CCUACGGGUGGCAGCAGUGAGGAAUAUUGGUCAAUGGACGAGAGUCUGAACCAGCCAAGUAGCGUGAAGGAUGACUGCCCUAUGGGUUGUAAACUUCUUUUAUAUGGGACUAAAACGUUCCACGUGUGGGAUUUUGUAUGUACCAUAUGAAUAAGGAUCGGCUAACUACGUGCCAGCAGCCGCGGUAAUACGGAGGAUCCGAGCGUUAUCCGGAUUUAGUGGGUUUAAAGGGAGCGUAGGUGGAUUGUUAAGUCAGUUGUGAAAGUUUGCGGCUCAACCGUAAAAUUGCAGUUGAAACUGGCAGGAUGGAGUACAGUAGAGGUGGGCGGAAUUCGUGGGGUCGCGGGGAAAUGCUUAGAUAUCACGAAGAACUCCGAUUGCGAAGGCAGUUCACUGGACUGCAACUGACACUGAGGCUCGAAAGUGUGGGGAUCAAACAGGAUUAGAUACCCCGGUAGUC
RNAcentral lists this ribosomal RNA (460 nucleotides) under uncultured bacterium. RNAcentral describes it as "partial 16S ribosomal RNA". It matches the Rfam family "Bacterial small subunit ribosomal RNA", at positions 338 to 795 of the family's 1533-position model. The record is from RNAcentral.